UACAGAGGGUGCAAGUGUUAAUCGGAAUUACUGGGCGUAAAGCGUGCGUAGUCGGUUAUCUAAGUCGGAUGUGAAAUCCCCGGGCUCAACCUGGGAGUUGCAUUCGAUACUGGAUAGCUAGAGUUCGGCAGAGGGAAGUGGAAUUUCGGGUGUAGCGGUGAAAUGCGUAGAUAUCCGAAGGAACAUCAGUGGCGAAAGCGACUUCCUGGACCAGAACUGACGAUCAGGCACGAAAGCGUGGGGAUCAAACAGG
This 253-nucleotide ribosomal RNA is filed under the name uncultured bacterium. RNAcentral describes it as "partial 16S ribosomal RNA". It matches the Rfam family "Bacterial small subunit ribosomal RNA", at positions 524 to 776 of the family's 1533-position model. The record is from RNAcentral.